This 214-nucleotide ribosomal RNA is filed under the name uncultured bacterium. Its description in RNAcentral is "partial 16S ribosomal RNA". It matches the Rfam family "Bacterial small subunit ribosomal RNA", at positions 589 to 793 of the family's 1533-position model. The record is from RNAcentral.
CAGAUGUGAAAGACCCGGGGCGUCAACCUCGGAAUAGCAUUUGUAAACUAGGCAGACUAGAGUACUGUAGAGGGGGGUAGGAAUUUCUAGGUGUAGCGGUGAAAUAGCGUAGAGAUCUGAAGGAAUACCAGUGGCGAAGGCGGCCCCCUCGGACAAAGACUGACGCUCAGAUGCGAAAGCGUGGGGAGCAAACAGGAUUAGAUACCCCUGGUAG